Molecule: Y RNA, 102 nt
Filed under: Microcebus murinus (gray mouse lemur)
Lineage: Eukaryota; Metazoa; Chordata; Mammalia; Primates; Cheirogaleidae
Description: Y RNA (ENSMICG00000041982.1)
Rfam family: Y RNA
About the family: Y RNAs are components of the Ro ribonucleoprotein particle (Ro RNP), in association with Ro60 and La proteins. The Y RNAs and Ro60 and La proteins are well conserved, but the function of the Ro RNP is not known.
Source: Rfam by way of RNAcentral
AUUUGGUCCUAGUGCAGUGGUGUUUGCAAAUAAUUGAUCACAACCAGUUAUAGAUUCCUUUGUUCCUUCUCCAGUCCCACUGCUUCACUUGACCAGCCUAAA